CAGUCGCCACGGUAAUACAGAGGUCCCGAGCGUUGUUCGGAUUCACUGGGCGUAAAGGGUGUGCAGGAGGUUUGGUAAGUCAGGUGUGAAAUCCCGCAGCUUAACUGUGGAACUGCAUUCGAUACUGCUGAACUAGAGGCUUGGAGGGGGAAGCGGAAUUCUUGGUGUAGCGGUGAAAUGCGUAGAUAUCAAGAGGAACACCGGUGGCGAAGGCGGCUUCCUGGACAAGUCCUGACUCUGAAACACGAAAGCUAGGGGAGCGAAUGGGAUUAGAGACCCCCGUAGUCCCUGUCUCUUAUAC
Molecule: ribosomal RNA, 301 nt
Filed under: uncultured bacterium
Lineage: Bacteria
Description: partial 16S ribosomal RNA
Rfam family: Bacterial small subunit ribosomal RNA
Source: RNAcentral